This 517-nucleotide ribosomal RNA is filed under the name uncultured bacterium. RNAcentral describes it as "bacterial SSU rRNA". It matches the Rfam family "Bacterial small subunit ribosomal RNA", at positions 15 to 518 of the family's 1533-position model. The record is from RNAcentral.
GAUCCUGGCUCAGAACGAACGCUGGCGGCGCGUCUUAAGCAUGCAAGUCGAAUGGCAAGAUAGAGCUUGCUCUAUCCUAGAAUGGCGGACUGGUGAGUAACGCGUGGGUGACGUACCCUUUAGAUGGGGAUAGCUGGUAGAAAUAUCAGAUAAUACCGAAUAAGCUGUAACUCUUUAGAGGGGUUACAGGAAAGGAUCUUUUGAUCCGCUGAAGGAGCGGCCCGCGUACUAUUAGCUAGUUGGUGAGGUAACGGCCCACCAAGGCGAUGAUAGUUACCCGGCCUAAGAGGGUGAUCGGGCACAUUGGGACUGAGAUACGGCCCAGACCCCUACGGGAGGCAGCAGCUAAGAAUAUUCCGCAAUGGACGAAAGUCUGACGGGGCGACGCCGCGUGGAUGAUGAAGGCCGGAAGGUUGUAAAAUCCUUUUAAGUGUGAAGAAUAAGUAGUGUGAGAGAAACGCAUUAUGGUGACGGUAACACUUGAAUAAGAGGCGGCUAAUUACGUGCCAGCAGCCGC